UGUAUAAACCCCUUUUGUUUUUGAGGCUAAGCUUUGUUUAUUAUAAUUCUGUUUGUAUGCAUUUCUUGUGCGAUUGCACGGGGAAAAAAAAUAAAGGUGGAGAGUGGGAUGUUAGAGAUGGGGCAUAAGGGGUUAAGAUGAGGGAGAUAGGAGGGGGCGGUUGAUAAUACAGAGUCAUAACGUAAGAGUGUCAUAAGUAAAUUGCAUGACUCAAUUCUCACAUACACACACUUGGAGACAUGAUUUCCAAUGCUUUUACAAGUUUUUUUUUUCAAAAUAAAUAAAUCCUCCAUGUCUGUCUGGAUCACCUUUUAUGUGGACUAAUUCUAGUUGGGUAUUAUUGUAAAUAUGCUAACGUGGCUGACGACUAGCAUGUAGCGUGUCACAAACAAGUUUUAGAAUAACUGAACGCAGUUAAUAAAGUCUGACUGCCAAACUAUGUCUCGCUUAAUGCACCUUACAGUUUAUUGCACCUUAUAUUUGACAAAAGUUCCUAAAUAGACCAUUCAUUGACGUCGCAUUUUAUGAUCGAGUAUACCCGUUGUCCGCAAAAUAUGGUACUUAAAAAUGUAGGCAUUGACUGUAACAAAAUGCAGAAUUCAUUACACAUUUAAAUUUUUAAGAAAACUCUACUCUCAAAGUUUUUUCACAUAUAAAUCAUUAAAAAAAAAAAAUUUAAAUAAUGCAUUUUUUACAGUAUAGCUUUCCUAACGUAGCUUUGCUGUUGCGUUUUGAGCAACAAAAUACGUAUGAACCUGCUUUUUCUGAGCUACAAAAACAUUGAUUUACAUUUAAAAAUUUUGCAAAUUGUUUUUCCUUAAGAAACUAAGAAAAUUCAGUUAAUAACUAAAGCUAUGUCAGUCACAUUUUAAGUUAAAACCUAUGAACUGUCAUGGUGCCUCUGGCCCUCUCUCCUCCCCCUCCCCUCUCUGCUCUGCUCCUGACUCGUCCCAGCUGUGACCACUCAACUCAUCAACAUCCAGACCUACUUUAGGAGAUCCAGUUCCAGCAUUCAUCGCCAGUUCGUCGCCCCUGAUGGACUACAAAUCCACAAGUGGUCACCUGAGUCUCAUUACUCCCAGAGCAGCAGUUUCCUCACGGAAUUUCCUGGAAACACCAAGCCAAAUCUAGACUUCCAGCCACGCCACGAGCCACGAAUAAGCCUCGAGUCCCGCCACAACUUCAUGCCACUUCAAGACCUCCUGCCUCACCAGGACUUCAAACCACGCCAGAAAAUAAACUCUUACUUACCUCACUAUUCACCUGUUUUCCUUCCGGGAUCCACCGCCCUGGUCUGCCCCGCCUAGCAAGCCAUGACGUGAACAACAUAAUUCUGCUUAAGAUGAGUUGAAUACAUUUUUGCACUACUAAUGUAUUUGUGUCUAUCUAAAAUGUUUUAUAAUCUAAAACAAGACUGAACAAAAUGAAUAUUUGCUUAAUUUAGCAUCAAGCUGUAUCUCCCUUCAGAUAGGGAACAUCUUGGCCGCUGACUGUAUAUGAGAACUGGACUAAGUGAUUGGGACAUCACUCAUAAAAAAUACCUUACGUCUGGCUCCAACCAAUUGAAGCCAAUAUGGUCGCCAUUUUUUCAUGAUCCAGAUGCCACCAUGUUGUGGUCACCGAAGUGCAAACACAAAUAAAAAUGUAGCAAUAUGUUUUAAAUAGUGGAGCUAAUUCUUUUGCAUAAAAUUCCCGAUAUGUAUGAUAGAUGAUCCUGAACCCAAUGCCAGCUAAACAAAAUGCCCUAACAUGAGGAAAAACAACACACACACACACACACAAAAAAAACUUUGUCCUUUUUUUCUACCCUCCCCCACCAAUAAUAGAAAUGGUAUAUGCCAGUGAGUUUCCAUGACCACAGCGCCUGAGCAUUGGGGUGUGACCUCGUUUCAAAGGAAAAUCCAAGUCUCCACCUUCUGUUCCAAAUUUAACGCAAACCAGACGUACCAAAUGUUGCAGUUCCACCAGAAUCAACUGGAGACAGGUGGGUGGAUGCAUUGGUGGAUCCAACAGAGCUUCUCGUUUGAUUUUGUCCCAUUUUGAAAGUCGUUUCUAUGAAUGAAUGUUUGUUGAAUUGGGUGGAGGUGCGUUUAACUCUGUUGUCCAAAAUAAAUAAUUCAAACUUAAAUUCUUAAAUCAUCUUGUUUACAUUUGUAAUUUUUUUUACUGGAUGUCAACAAAAUCUUUGCUGAGAUAAUGUACACGUUCAUGUUCUUGUCCAAAUGAAUUUUAAUUGACUCUUUGUAUUGUCCACAUAGAAAAUGUAGCCAGAUGGCUCUGUUGUCUGUGUGUCGGAUGGCGUGUGGGAAACCAGGCUUAGUUUCCCAGGGGGCACGAUGAGCUUCAUCCAGUGUCGAUCCUUGGACAAGCCCCUUCACACUAUUGCCAAACUACGUAGCAACAAGAGGGCUCAAGUCUGCAUCUCCUUGUGCCAGUCCCUAGCUCAGAUAUUGUAUCAGGAAGGUCAUCCAGUGCAAAAAUCUCUGCUAAACCACCUGUGCGACUUUGUGGAAGCUGAUUUGCAAUUUCCACAUGAAAAAUGUCAUAUUUCAGUUGGGCUACUCUGGACACUGCAAUUCUGCAGCUUCUCCCACCUGUUUGGUGUGUGCAUGGCUCUGAUUGGCCACAACGAAACAUGACUUUGCCCUGAGCCAGUCGUAAUUACUUACCCUGUUACCACUUCCGACAGAAAGAGACUUGGAUGCACAGCCCUUCAUUGAUUGAGAGGGUCUGGUGCUCAGAGCUAAGGAUUUUUGAGUAAUACUCAGAAAUGGAGCAAAAAUACCGCUUUGGGUUUGUUUUUGUGAGAAAUUAAUAUAAUACACUAAUAAUAUAAAAAAUUUAAUUUUGCAUGACAUAGCCCCUUUAAAACCCUUUGAUUCCUGAAUUGAUUUCACUUUUCAAAUUAAGGUUAUUUUGGGGGUGACGUGGUUUUAUGCAUAUUUACAUCGAUAGGCGCCAGUGAUUUUAGGACAAUUUAGGAUGAACAAACAGCUUGAGAUUUUAGACAAAAUCCAAAGCAUAGGGAAAAAAACACAUGUGGAUAGCACAUGAAAAAUUCUCACAGGAAGGCCAAGUUUCAUUGUCUGAGGCAAAAGUGUCAACAACCACGCACCAUGCUCCGAAAAAGGAAUCAAAACUACACCACACUUAAGCCCUUGUGUUUUGUGGUUUUAACUCCACAGGCAAUUUAUUGGUUCCCUAGAGAAAGGAAAUGCUUUACCUCCUGUAUUAUGCAUCAAUAAAAUGCUUACGUUUAUAGUGAAGCUAUUUAUCACGCUAAUUACAUUGCACUAAAACCCACAGAAAAGAACCAGCACACUUUAGAGGAGCUAAAUUGAGGUAGGGGCACAGAAAAAAAGAGAUUUUGCCAGUAAUAUGUUGUUCUUUUCUGAAAAUUGACUUUUUACAUUUUUUCAUUAAUUUUUUUAAAGUUUGUAAUUCAGUAAGAGCUUUUGUUAUUGAAAUGUACACAAUCAGUGAUAGGUGUUUUUUAAUAGAAUGCUCAUCAUGUAGAGUGAAACUUAAAAUGUUAUUAAAAGUUAACUAAUGUAAUGAUGAAAAAUGUGAGAAAAGCAAAGAGGCAAAAACUGCCUCACUCCCUCCUCCUCUUUUGGAAUGGUACAACCCAGAAUUCUCCCAUAAGUUCCUAGAAUGUGGGUGUGGCUUGGUGGCAGCAUUUGUUAGGGCUGUGAUGCAAUGCGACUGUGAGUGACUCACCCAUGCCCGAUAUUUAUUUAUUCCUAACACAAACAUAUAUGAAAAGAAAAAAAUAUGAUCGGUUGAAUACCAAAUAAGGUCAACUACUCUACGUGGUUGACAGAAUACAAGAAAACCAGAUUUGUCUUUUUUGUCUUUUGUCCGCCCUGUGGGAUUAAAAGUAAAUCAAUCUUGCAAUCACCUAAUGUUUUUUUCUUUUUUCAAACACCUUAAGUGAAGAUGUGAAGCCAAAUACCUAAGAUGUAAAAGGCUUAGAACUACCUCUUCCACUACUACUUUAUUAUAGAUUAUAAUACAUCUUAAAAUGGUUGAAAAACAAUCCAGAAACCAACUCAUGGAUGGACUUGAACAGGCGUUAUGUGGAAGAAUCAAUCUGUCAGAUCUACCAUUUAUUAGCCAAACAAUAAAAAAAAAACAGGACUGCUUCCAAAGUAGUAAUAUAAACAGCACUAUAACAGCCUGGUGGGAAUUUCUGUGUCAAAGUGUCAAACUCUUCACUUCAACCGAACAAAAUGACACCCCUCUGGAACAACUCUUACAAACAAAAAAAAUAUUACAGUUCCCAGCUUGGCAAGCAGGGGGCGUAACACUAUAGAAGACUUAAUUAUUGGUAGAAAAAUUCACAACACCCUAGGAACAUCAAGAAAAACAUGUCCCCUACCCCAUCCCUGGUAGUGGGUACUGGGCGCUUGGCAACGGCGGCCGUGUUCUCUGGGUGCUGGCUUUCUGGGCCCGGCAACCCUCUCUCCACACAGGGAGAGGGAUCCCUGAUUUCUCUGGCAAGGCCAAG
Molecule: long non-coding RNA, 4510 nt
Organism: Oryzias latipes (Japanese medaka)
Lineage: Eukaryota; Metazoa; Chordata; Actinopteri; Beloniformes; Adrianichthyidae
Source: RefSeq, a predicted model, not a curated record